GGUUAAGCGACUAAGCGUACACGGUGGAUGCCCUGGCAGUCAGAGGCGAUGAAGGACGUGCUAAUCUGCGAAAAGCGCCGGCGAGGUGAUAUGAACCCUUGACCCGGCGAUGUCCGAAUGGGGAAACCCAGUGUGAUUCGUCACACUAUCGUUAACUGAAUACAUAGGUUAACGAGGCGAACCGGGGGAACUGAAACAUCUAAGUACCCCGAGGAAAAGAAAUCAACCGAGAUUCCCCCAGUAGCGGCGAGCGAACGGGGAGCAGCCCAGAGUCUGAAUCAGCUUGUGUGUUAGUGGAAGCGUCUGGAAAGUCGCACGGUACAGGGUGAUAGUCCCGUACACGAAAGCACACAGGCUGUGAACUCGAAGAGUAGGGCGGGACACGUGGUAUCCUGUCUGAAUAUGGGGGGACCAUCCUCCAAGGCUAAAUACUCCUGACUGACCGAUAGUGAACCAGUACCGUGAGGGAAAGGCGAAAAGAACCCCGGCGAGGGGAGUGAAAAAGAACCUGAAACCGUGUACGUACAAGCAGUGGGAGCACCUUCGGGUGUGACUGCGUACCUUUUGUAUAAUGGGUCAGCGACUUAUAUUCUGUAGCAAGGUUAACCGUAUAGGGGAGCCGAAGGGAAACCGAGUCUUAACUGGGCGUUAAGUUGCAGGGUAUAGACCCGAAACCCGGUGAUCUAGCCAUGGGCAGGUUGAAGGUUGGGUAACACUAACUGGAGGACCGAACCGACUAAUGUUGAAAAAUUAGCGGAUGACCUGUGGCUGGGGGUGAAAGGCCAAUCAAACCGGGAGAUAGCUGGUUCUCCCCGAAAGCUAUUUAGGUAGCGCCUCGUGAACUCAUCUUCGGGGGUAGAGCACUGUUUCGGCUAGGGGGCCAUCCCGGCUUACCAACCCGAUGCAAACUACGAAUACCGAAGAAUGUUAUCACGGGAGACACACGGCGGGUGCUAACGUCCGUCGUGAAGAGGGAAACAACCCAGACCGCCAGCUAAGGUCCCAAAGUCAUGGUUAAGUGGGAAACGAUGUGGGAAGGCCCAGACAGCCAGGAUGUUGGCUUAGAAGCAGCCAUCAUUUAAAGAAAGCGUAAUAGCUCACUGGUCGAGUCGGCCUGCGCGGAAGAUGUAACGGGGCUAAACCAUGCACCGAAGCUGCGGCAGCGACACUCUGUGUUGUUGGGUAGGGGAGCGUUCUGUAAGCCGUUGAAGGUGGCCUGUGAGGGUUGCUGGAGGUAUCAGAAGUGCGAAUGCUGACAUAAGUAACGAUAAAGCGGGUGAAAAGCCCGCUCGCCGGAAGACCAAGGGUUCCUGUCCAACGUUAAUCGGGGCAGGGUGAGUCGACCCCUAAGGCGAGGCCGAAAGGCGUAGUCGAUGGGAAACAGGUUAAUAUUCCUGUACUUGGUGUUACUGCGAAGGGGGGACGGAGAAGGCUAUGUUAGCCGGGCGACGGUUGUCCCGGUUUAAGCAUGUAGGCGGAGGUUCCAGGUAAAUCCGGUACCUUUUAACGCUGAGGUGUGAUGACGAGGCACUACGGUGCUGAAGUAACAAAUGCCCUGCUUCCAGGAAAAGCCUCUAAGCAUCAGGUAACAUCAAAUCGUACCCCAAACCGACACAGGUGGUCAGGUAGAGAAUACCAAGGCGCUUGAGAGAACUCGGGUGAAGGAACUAGGCAAAAUGGUGCCGUAACUUCGGGAGAAGGCACGCUGAUAUGUAGGUGAAGCCCCUGCGGGUGGAGCUGAAAUCAGUCGAAGAUACCAGCUGGCUGCAACUGUUUAUUAAAAACACAGCACUGUGCAAACACGAAAGUGGACGUAUACGGUGUGACGCCUGCCCGGUGCCGGAAGGUUAAUUGAUGGGGUUAGCGGCAACGCGAAGCUCUUGAUCGAAGCCCCGGUAAACGGCGGCCGUAACUAUAACGGUCCUAAGGUAGCGAAAUUCCUUGUCGGGUAAGUUCCGACCUGCACGAAUGGCGUAAUGAUGGCCAGGCUGUCUCCACCCGAGACUCAGUGAAAUUGAACUCGCUGUGAAGAUGCAGUGUACCCGCGGCAAGACGGAAAGACCCCGUGAACCUUUACUAUAGCUUGACACUGAACACUGGUCCUUGAUGUGUAGGAUAGGUGGGAGGCUUUGAAGCGUGGACGCCAGUCUGCGUGGAGCCAUCCUUGAAAUACCACCCUUUAAUGGCUGGUGUUCUAACGUAGACCCGUAAUCCGGGUUGCGGACAGUGUCUGGUGGGUAGUUUGACUGGGGCGGUCUCCUCCCAAAGAGUAACGGAGGAGCACGAAGGUUAGCUAAUCCUGGUCGGACAUCAGGAGGUUAGUGCAAUGGCAUAAGCUAGCUUGACUGCGAGAGUGACGGCUCGAGCAGGUGCGAAAGCAGGUCAUAGUGAUCCGGUGGUUCUGAAUGGAAGGGCCAUCGCUCAACGGAUAAAAGGUACUCCGGGGAUAACAGGCUGAUACCGCCCAAGAGUUCAUAUCGACGGCGGUGUUUGGCACCUCGAUGUCGGCUCAUCACAUCCUGGGGCUGAAGUAGGUCCCAAGGGUAUGGCUGUUCGCCAUUUAAAGUGGUACGCGAGCUGGGUUUAGAACGUCGUGAGACAGUUCGGUCCCUAUCUGCCGUGGGCGCUGGAGAAUUGAGGGGGGCUGCUCCUAGUACGAGAGGACCGGAGUGGACGCAUCACUGGUGUUCGGGUUGUCAUGCCAAUGGCACUGCCCGGUAGCUAAAUGCGGAAGAGAUAAGUGCUGAAAGCAUCUAAGCACGAAACUUGCCCCGAGAUGAGUUCUCCCUGAGACUUAAAGUCUCCUGAAGGAACGUUGAAGACGACGACGUUGAUAGGUCGGGUGUGUAAGCGCAGCGAUGCGUUGAGCUAACCGAUACUAAUGAACCGUGAGGCUUAACCUU
RNAcentral lists this ribosomal RNA (2903 nucleotides) under Enterobacter cloacae. RNAcentral describes it as "23S ribosomal RNA". It matches the Rfam family "Bacterial large subunit ribosomal RNA". Lineage: Bacteria; Pseudomonadati; Pseudomonadota; Gammaproteobacteria; Enterobacterales; Enterobacteriaceae. The record is from RNAcentral.